This 495-nucleotide ribosomal RNA is filed under the name uncultured bacterium. Its description in RNAcentral is "bacterial SSU rRNA". It matches the Rfam family "Bacterial small subunit ribosomal RNA", at positions 32 to 507 of the family's 1533-position model. The record is from RNAcentral.
AACAACGCUGGCGGCGUGUCUUAAGCAUGCAAGUUGAGCGGCAAGGAGGAGAGAUCCUCCCUAGAGCGGCGGACUGGUGAGUAACGCGUGGGUAAUCUAUCGUAGGCAUGGGGGAUAGGUCACUAGAAAAUAGUGGGUAAUACCGAAUACGUUCCAUGAGGGGGAGUACUUAUGGAAGAAAGGGUGCUAUGGGCACUGGCCUUAGGUGAGCUCGCGUCCCAUUAGCUAGUUGGUGAGGUAAAGGCCCACCAAGGCGAUGAUGGGUAGCCGGCCUGAGAGGGUGUACGGCCACACUGGGACUGAGAUACGGCCCAGACUCCUACGGGAGGCAGCAGCUAAGAAUAUUCCGCAAUGGACGAAAGUCUGACGGAGCGACGCCGCGUGGAUGAAGAAGGCCGAAAGGUUGUAAAGUUCUUUUGCUAGGGGAGAAUAAGUGAGGGAGGGAAUGCCCUCAUGAUGACAAGGACUAGCGAAUAAGCCCCGGCCAACUACGUG